UCCCGGUUAACCCGGGCAGUCUCACUAGAGUCCCCGCCAUAACGCGCUGGCAACUAAUGAUAAGGGUUGCGCUCGUUGCGGGACUUAACCCAACACCUCACGGCACGAGCUGACGACAGCCAUGCAGCACCUGUGCAGCAGUCCCGAAGGAAGACGCCAUCUCUGGCGCUGUCUACUGCAUGUCAAGCCUGGGUAAGGUUCUUCGCGUUGCAUCGAAUUAAACCACAUGCUCCACUGCUUGUGCGGGUCCCCGUCAAUUCUUUUGAGUUUUACCCUUGCGGGCGUACUUCCCAGGCGGUAUACUUAUCGCGUUGGCUUCGGCACAGCCAGGGUUGAGUCCAGCUACACCAAGUAUACAUCGUUUACGGCAAGGACUAC
RNAcentral lists this unclassified non-coding RNA (378 nucleotides) under uncultured Parachlamydiaceae bacterium. RNAcentral describes it as "contains 16S-23S intergenic spacer region". The record is from RNAcentral. Lineage: Bacteria; Pseudomonadati; Chlamydiota; Chlamydiia; Parachlamydiales; Parachlamydiaceae.